UACAGAGGUCCCGAGCGUUGUUCGGAUUUAUUGGGCGUAAAGGGUGCGUAGGCGGCGGAGUAAGUCGGGUGUGAAAUCCCGGGGCUCAACCUCGGAAUUGCAUUCAAUACUGCUUCGCUCGAGUACUGGAGAGGAGGCUGGAAUUUACGGUGUAGCAGUGAAAUGCGUAGAUAUCGUAAGGAAGACCAGUGGCGAAAGCGAGCCUCUGGACAGUUACUGACGCUGAUGCACGAAAGCCAGGGGAGCAAACGGG
Molecule: ribosomal RNA, 253 nt
Filed under: uncultured bacterium
Lineage: Bacteria
Description: partial 16S ribosomal RNA
Rfam family: Bacterial small subunit ribosomal RNA
Source: RNAcentral